UGGGGAAUAUUGCACAAUGGGCGAAAGCCUGAUGCAGCAACGCCGCGUGAGUGAUGAAGGCCUUCGGGUUGUAAAGCUCUGUCUUCUGGGACGAUAAUGACGGUACCAGAGGAGGAAGCCACGGCUAACUACGUGCCAGCAGCCGCGGUAAUACGUAGGUGGCAAGCGUUGUCCGGAUUUACUGGGCGUAAAGGAUGCGUAGGCGGAUACUUAAGUCAGAUGUGAAAAUCCCGGGCUUAACUUGGGAACUGCAUUUGAAACUGGGUAGCUAGAGUGCGGGAGAGGAGAGUGGAAUUCCUAGUGUAGCGGUUAAAUGCGUAGAGAUUAGGAAGAACACCAGUGGCGAAGGCGGCUUUCUGGACCGUAACUGACGCUGAUGCAUGAAAGCGUGGGGAGCAAACA
This 402-nucleotide ribosomal RNA is filed under the name uncultured bacterium. RNAcentral describes it as "bacterial SSU rRNA". It matches the Rfam family "Bacterial small subunit ribosomal RNA", at positions 355 to 774 of the family's 1533-position model. The record is from RNAcentral.